RNAcentral lists this ribosomal RNA (894 nucleotides) under Triticum aestivum (bread wheat). RNAcentral's name for it is "partial small subunit ribosomal RNA". Lineage: Eukaryota; Viridiplantae; Streptophyta; Magnoliopsida; Poales; Poaceae. The record is from RNAcentral.
GAACUACUCCGAUCCAACCACAGCAUACACCCAUCAAAUCCAUGAGAAUAACCUACCACAUUGCAUCCCCCGGCCGUCCGCCGCCACGUCCACACCUCGCCGUCCGCCGCCCCCUCCGGCCUCCCCGGGUCUUCUCCAGCAUCCCCUCCACGCCCUCCUCCUUUGGCCUCGCCGAAGCCUCGCGCAUAUCCGGUCUCCCCUCCGUGGUGCCCUGCUCCGGCCUCGCCAACGCAUCGCGUAUCUCCGGCCUUCCCUCUGCAGCAUCCUUCUCCGGCCUCACUCCUCGACGCGUUCCACACCAGCGACUGCCCUCCCUCCGCCUUUAGCAGAUCCCAUGAAGUGAAUCAAGCACACGGGAUGGAGGGAGCCGUGCCGUCGACCAUGGCGGCAGGGGCGGCCUAGAAGACCUCAAAUCUGAUGGUUCCUCUCCCUGAUGGCAAGUUCUCAAAUCAUACAUUUCCUUAUCUUAUAGAUUCGUUAUGUGUACAUCCAUAUUAGUGUCCUGCUUGGCAUCUUUUUUGUUAUAAAGGGAACAUGUUGUUGAUGUAAAUUUGGCACAAUGACGGUCUCAGUAUAUCCCCAGUAUAUUAAGAUGGAGCCAGGGCUGUUAUAUCUGUAGUUAUUUCUGAUUAGUCACAAGGUGAUGUCCAGUCUUUAACACUAUAGAUGUUAAAUGGAUCUGGCUAAUAUAAAGGAUCACACUAUAGCACUUAUGUACUUGAUGAAUAUUUUUGGCAGUGGUGUCUCCAAGCAAACAGGUUGCCAAUCUUCUGUUUCUUCAUCUUAUAGUUGGGGUUGGUAGUGGUGUCUAGUUAUACACAUGCCCUGUUCCGUGAGUGAAGAACAAGAACAACUAGGGACCUUGCUAUUUAGAUUGGAAGAUGGAUUUGUACU